This 427-nucleotide ribosomal RNA is filed under the name uncultured bacterium. RNAcentral describes it as "bacterial SSU rRNA". It matches the Rfam family "Bacterial small subunit ribosomal RNA", at positions 355 to 774 of the family's 1533-position model. The record is from RNAcentral.
UGGGGAAUUUUGGACAAUGGGCGAAAGCCUGAUCCAGCCAUGCCGCGUGCGGGAAGAAGGCCUUCGGGUUGUAAACCGCUUUUGUCAGGGAAGAAACGAGUUUCUCUAAUACAGAGACUUAAUGACGGUACCUGAAGAAUAAGCACCGGCUAACUACGUGCCAGCAGCCGCGGUAAUACGUAGGGUGCAAGCGUUAAUCGGAAUUACUGGGCGUAAAGCGUGCGCAGGCGGUUAUGCAAGACAGAUGUGAAAUCCCCGGGCUCAACCUGGGAACUGCAUUUGUGACUGCAUAGCUGGAGUGCGGCAGAGGGGAAUGGAAUUCCGCGUGUAGCAGUGAAAUGCGUAGGUAUGCGGAGGAACACCGAUGGCGAAGGCAAUCCCCUGGGCCUGCACUGACGCUCAUGCACGAAAGCGUGGGGAGCAAACA